RNAcentral lists this ribosomal RNA (450 nucleotides) under uncultured bacterium. RNAcentral's name for it is "partial 16S ribosomal RNA". It matches the Rfam family "Bacterial small subunit ribosomal RNA", at positions 354 to 796 of the family's 1533-position model. The record is from RNAcentral.
GUGGGGAAUAUUGGACAAUGGGCGAAAGCCUGAUCCAGCCAUGUCGCGUGUGUGAAGAAGGUCUUCGGAUUGUAAAGCACUUUAAGUUGGGAGGAAGGGCAGUAAGUUAAUACCUUGCUGUUUUGACGUUACCGACAGAAUAAGCACCGGCUAACUUCGUGCCAGCAGCCGCGGUACUACGAAGGGUGCAAGCGUUAAUCGGAAUUACUGGGCGUAAAGCGCGCGUAGGUGGUUUUGUAAGUUGGAGGUGAAAUCCCCGGGCUCAACCUGGGAACUGCCUCCAAAACUGCAUGACUAGAGUACGGUAGAGGGUAGUGGAAUGUCCUGUGUAGCGGUGAAAUGCGUAGGUAUAGGAAGGAACACCAGUGGCGAAGGCGACUACCUGGACUGAUACUGACACUGAGGUGCGAAAGCGUGGGGAGCAAAAAGGAUUAGAAGCCCCUGUAGUCC